UGCACGAGUAUCACACAAUAUGCGUAUGAUGCACGAAUAUCACACGAAAUUUACAUUUGAUGCGCAAAAUGAACGUGUGAUGCACAAUUGCUAAUGCCUUUGUCAGUAUGAAAAUACAAACUAGCCUAUUUAUAGCUAGAGCUGAUACAUGUAAACAUUUUGGAAUGAUUUUGUUCAAACCUCAUGAAAAUCAUCACAAUCACUGCCAAUAGGAUGAUGAUCAUGACCGGCAUGCCUUUGAGUUUAUCUUCGGCUUCUCCUUCUGCCGCGACCAGACGUACCAAUGGUAAUGUCGUAAGCAACUAGAACAAAAGAAGAGGAAGUUAGUAAUGCAAUUAUGAAGAUUACAUACAUUACAAAUUCAUAAACACUAUUUACAAGUAUUAUUUGCACGCAGUUCGUCAUAGGUGGAGCUACAACCAAUCAAGUGAAAACAUUUCUUAACUUAUGUCAACAAAGUUAUGCUAUUGUUAUUUUAGAAUGGAACACAAAUGUACAUUAUGCCAACGAAGCUUUUGAAGAUCCAUGGACAUAUGACGAACGUGAAAAUAUUUCAUAACAAAUAGAUGAAUCAAAUGAUUGUGUCUAUUUACUUGUGCAUUUUCUGGCUAUGUCUGUCGAGGAGUUAUGAACAUAUCAAAGUCAAUUUUGAUUAUGAAAAUCUUCGAUUAAGAUGCAGAGCAUUACUUUGGGACUAUGGAAAGAGGAAAAUUGAUACGUAUUGUUUGUUAAUGAAUGUGAAAUCAAGUACGAAAGGUUGUCAGUUACGCCGGAAGGGGUGUGAUUUAAAAGGAAUUUCUACCUUGUAGGUUUAAUAUUUCUUUUACAUUUAUUAAUUAAAUUAGAAGUAGUUGUUAGGGUUUGUUAAGGUAAGAAGAUUAUUUUUGAUAUUUUUUUUCUCUGUCUAUAAAUAUUUACCGAAAAUAAAAAUAAACAAAAUGAAAAUUUCCUUAAUAUUCUUGCUUUCGUUUUCCAAUACAUCCUUUGAAAUGAAAGAACACCAUGUUCAAAACCUUACUUGUAGGCAACAAUAGAUACUUAUUAUACAAUACUGAAAGCCACUAUAAUUCCGACAACUCAUUUUUUUACACAUCAUGUAAAUAUAUAUUAGUGGUGAUAAAUAUGGAAACACGGUAAAACUCUAACUUCUUCAUUCUCAUCAAACUUGGACAAACAUAUAUGACAUUCUCUAACGCAACAUUAUACUGCAUGAUCGGAAAUGACCGAACCACGGUCUAAGCUCUAAUAGCGAUGAAGCAGCGGUACAAGUAUUAUAUCACAUGAUGAUGAAAAUCAUCACAAUCACUGCCAAUAGGAUAAUGAUCACGACCGGGGAAGCCUUUAUAUUUAUCUACAUCUUCUCAAGACGUACAGCGGUACAAGUAUCUUUUUUUUUGCUAAUUAUUCUGUGUUGACGAAUAUUGGUCGGGGGGAUUCAGGUUUGGGGUGGGGACCAACAACAAGAUGGGGAUUAAGAUUUAGAAUUAGUCAUAAUAUUUAUUAAUUACAAGUGUAAAUAAUCCAUUUUCCUGUAUCAAAAUUCCCUCAUCAACAAAUAAUGAACUUGAUUAUAAGCUUUGAUGCAUUUACAACAAGGGAAAAAAAAAAA
Non-coding RNA from Solanum lycopersicum (tomato), 1609 nucleotides. NCBI's taxonomy places the organism in Eukaryota, Viridiplantae, Streptophyta, Magnoliopsida, Solanales, Solanaceae. The record is from RefSeq and is a predicted model, not a curated record.